GACGAACGCUGGCGGCGUGCUUAACACAUGCAAGUCGAACGGAAAGGCCCUGCUUUUGUGGGGUGCUCGAGUGGCGAACGGGUGAGUAACACGUGAGUAACCUGCCCUUGACUUUGGGAUAACUUCAGGAAACUGGGGCUAAUACCGGAUAGGAGCUCCUGCUGCAUGGUGGGGGUUGGAAAGAUUCGGCGGUUGGGGAUGGACUCGCGGCUUAUCAGCUUGUUUGUGGGGUAGUGGCUUACCAAGGCUUUGACGGGUAGCCGGCCUGAGAGGGUGACCGGACAAAUUGGGGCUAAGAUACGGCACAGAGUCCUACGUGACGCAGAAGUGGGGAAUAUAGCACAAUGAGCGGCAGCAUGAAGCAGCAACGCAGCGUGCGGGAUGACGGCCUUCGGGUUGUAAACCACUUUCGCAUGUGACGAAGAGUGAGUGACGGUAAUGGGUAAAGAAGCACCGGCUAACUACGUG
RNAcentral lists this ribosomal RNA (468 nucleotides) under uncultured bacterium. RNAcentral describes it as "partial 16S ribosomal RNA". It matches the Rfam family "Bacterial small subunit ribosomal RNA", at positions 28 to 507 of the family's 1533-position model. The record is from RNAcentral.